GGGCACGUGCGGCGUGCAUAUAAUGCGAGUUGAGCGCUGAAGGUUGGUACUUGUACCGACUGGAUGAGCAGCGAACGGGUGAGUAACGCGUGGAGGAAUCUGCCUUUGAGCGGGGGACAACAUUUGGAAACGAAUGCUAAUACCGCAUAACAACUUUAAACACAAGUUUUAAGUUUGAAAGAUGCAAUUGCAUCACUCAAAGAUGAUCCCGCGUUGUAUUAGCUAGUUGGUGAGGUAAAGGCUCACCAAGGCGAUGAUACAUAGCCCACCUGAGAGGGUGAUCGGCCACAUUGGGACUGACACACGGCCCAAACUCCUACGGGAGGCAGCAGUAGGGAAUCUUCGGCAAUGGACGAAAGUCUGACCGAGCAACGCCGCGUGAGUGAAGAAGGUUUUCGGAUCGUAAAACUCUGUUGGUAGAGAAGAACGUUGGUGAGAGUGGAAAGCUCAGCAAGUGACGGUAACUACCCAGAAAGGGACGGCUAACUACGUGCCAGCCGCCGCGGUAAUACGUAGGUCCCGAGCGUUGUCCGGAUUUGUUGGGCGUAAAGCGAGCGCAGGUGGUUUAUUAAGUCUGGUGUAAAAGGCAGUGGCUCAACCAUUGUAUGCAUUGGAUACUGGUAGACUUGAGUGCAGGAGAGGAUAGUGGAAUUCCAUGUGUAGCGGUGAAAUGCAUAGAUAUAUGGAGGAACAUAGGUGGUCAUGGCUGCUCUCUGGCCUGUCACUGAUACUGAGGCUCGAAAGCGUGGAGAGCAGCUUUCAUUAGAUACGUUGGUACUCAUCUCUACACACUAUGAG
Molecule: ribosomal RNA, 798 nt
Filed under: Lactococcus lactis
Lineage: Bacteria; Bacillati; Bacillota; Bacilli; Lactobacillales; Streptococcaceae
Description: bacterial SSU rRNA
Rfam family: Bacterial small subunit ribosomal RNA
Source: RNAcentral